RNAcentral lists this transfer RNA (70 nucleotides) under Ozobranchus jantseanus. RNAcentral describes it as "tRNA-Val". Lineage: Eukaryota; Metazoa; Annelida; Clitellata; Hirudinida; Ozobranchidae. The record is from RNAcentral.
UCAGUUUAUAGCAUAACAAAUGCUUUUCACUUACACUGAAAAAAUAGUUUAUUAAAAAACUUAAACUGAU